RNAcentral lists this ribosomal RNA (527 nucleotides) under uncultured bacterium. Its description in RNAcentral is "bacterial SSU rRNA". It matches the Rfam family "Bacterial small subunit ribosomal RNA", at positions 1 to 524 of the family's 1533-position model. The record is from RNAcentral.
GCUAUUUAGGUUAGAGUUUGAUCAUGGCUCAGGAUGAACGCUAGCGGCAGGCUUAACACAUGCAAGUCGAGGGGUAGUAGUAGCAAUACUAUGAGACCGGCAAACGGGUGCGGAACACGUACACAAUCUACCUUUAUCUGGGGCAUAGCCCGAAGAAAUUCGGAUUAAUUCCCCAUAAUAUAUAUGAGUGGCAUCACUUGAAUAUUAAAACUCCGGUGGAUAGAGAUGAGUGUGCGUCCCAUUAGCUAGUUGGUAGGGUAACGGCCUACCAGGGCGACGAUGGGUAGCUGGUGUGAGAGCACGACCAGCCACACGGGCACUGAGACACGGGCCCGACUCCUACGGGAGGCAGCAGUGAGGAAUAUUGGUCAAUGGACGCAAGUCUGAACCAGCCAUGCCGCGUGAAGGAUGAAGGCCUUCUGGGUUGUAAACUUCUUUUAUGUGGGAAGAAAACUACGGUUUCUACUGUAGCCGACGGUACCAUAGGAAUAAGCACCGGCUAACUCCGUGCCAGCAGCCGCGGUAAU